AUUGAACGCUGGCGGCAUGCCUUACACAUGCAAGUCGAACGGCAGCAUGAUCUAGCUUGCUAGAUUGAUGGCGAGUGGCGAACGGGUGAGUAAUACAUCGGAACGUGCCCUGUAGUGGGGGAUAACUAGUCGAAAGAUUAGCUAAUACCGCAUGCGACCUGAGGGUGAAAGUGGGGGACCGCAAGGCCUCAUGCUAUAGGAGCGGCCGAUGUCUGAUUAGCUAGUUGGUGAGGUAAAGGCUCACCAAGGCGACGAUCAGUAGCUGGUCUGAGAGGACGAUCAGCCACACUGGGACUGAGACACGGCCCAGACUCCUACGGGAGGCAGCAGUGGGGAAUUUUGGACAAUGGGCGAAAGCCUGAUCCAGCAAUGCCGCGUGUGUGAAGAAGGCCUUCGGGUUGUAAAGCACUUUUGUCCGGAAAGAAAUGGCUCUGGUUAAUACCUGGGGUCGAUGACGGUACCGGAAGAAUAAGGACCGGCUAACUACGUG
RNAcentral lists this ribosomal RNA (490 nucleotides) under uncultured bacterium. RNAcentral's name for it is "partial 16S ribosomal RNA". It matches the Rfam family "Bacterial small subunit ribosomal RNA", at positions 30 to 507 of the family's 1533-position model. The record is from RNAcentral.